RNAcentral lists this long non-coding RNA (292 nucleotides) under Carica papaya (papaya). Its description in RNAcentral is "long non-coding RNA (CPAP_LNC002889)". Lineage: Eukaryota; Viridiplantae; Streptophyta; Magnoliopsida; Brassicales; Caricaceae. The record is from RNAcentral.
UAAGUUCAAGAUUUCAAAAAAUAAAACCACUUUGCAAAUAGCCAUAUAUUCCUUAUUUAAGUUCAAAAAUUUUAUAAAUUGCAGUAUAAUAAUAUCUAUAUUUUCCACGGCCUAUAUAAAAUACUCAACCAUAUUUCAUUUAUCCUCCCAUCACAACUUAAUUGUUCUUCAAUUAAACUCAGUCUUCUUAACUGGUGCAACAAAAAAGUAUAGCGAAAAAUUAGUUUUCUAAAGCCUCAAUAACCUCCAAAGUUAUUUAUUAGAGCUUAAACUCAAAGUAACGCACUAAACC